This 744-nucleotide ribosomal RNA is filed under the name uncultured bacterium. Its description in RNAcentral is "bacterial SSU rRNA". It matches the Rfam family "Bacterial small subunit ribosomal RNA", at positions 8 to 796 of the family's 1533-position model. The record is from RNAcentral.
AGAGUUUGAUCAUGGCUCAGAGCGAACGCUGGCGGCAGGCUUAACACAUGCAAGUCGAGCGGGCGUAGCAAUACGUCAGCGGCAGACGGGUGAGUAACGCGUGGGAACGUACCUUUUGGUUCGGAACAACACAGGGAAACUUGUGCUAAUACCGGAUAAGCCCUUACGGGGAAAGAUUUAUCGCCGAAAGAUCGGCCCGCGUCUGAUUAGCUAGUUGGUGAGGUAACGGCUCACCAAGGCGACGAUCAGUAGCUGGUCUGAGAGGAUGAUCAGCCACAUUGGGACUGAGACACGGCCCAAACUCCUACGGGAGGCAGCAGUGGGGAAUAUUGGACAAUGGGCGCAAGCCUGAUCCAGCCAUGCCGCGUGAGUGAUGAAGGCCCUAGGGUUGUAAAGCUCUUUUGUGCGGGAAGAUAAUGACGGUACCGCAAGAAUAAGCCCCGGCUAACUUCGUGCCAGCAGCCGCGGUAAUACGAAGGGGGCUAGCGUUGCUCGGAAUCACUGGGCGUAAAGGGUGCGUAGGCGGGUCUUUAAGUCAGGGGUGAAAUCCUGGAGCUCAACUCCAGAACUGCCUUUGAUACUGAGGAUCUUGAGUUCGGGAGAGGUGAGUGGAACUGCGAGUGUAGAGGUGAAAUUCGUAGAUAUUCGCAAGAACACCAGUGGCGAAGGCGGCUCACUGGCCCGAUACUGACGCUGGGGCACGAAAGCGUGGGGAGCAAACAGGAUUAGAUACCCUAGUAGUCC